GACUCCAGUAAUGCAUGUUAUGGUGGAACAACCUCCCUCUUGAAUUGGUGUAACUUCGUCGAAAGUCGAUGUUGGGAUGAAUGUUACGGCCUUGUAGUCUGCACAAAUAGCACGGUUUAUGCAGAGGGGCCAGCUCGGCCUAUGGGUGGAGCUGCUACAGUUGCUAUGCUUAUUGGUCCAAAUGCAUCUAUUUCUUUCGAAAGCAAAUAUAGAGCUUCUCACAUGACUCAUGUUUACGAUCUCUACAAGCCUCAUCUUGCAAGUGAAUAUCCGGUUAGGGUUCUAUCACUUGUUUUUGUUUGUUUGUUUGUUUUAGGCAUCUAA
This 324-nucleotide ribosomal RNA is filed under the name Triticum aestivum (bread wheat). RNAcentral describes it as "partial small subunit ribosomal RNA". Lineage: Eukaryota; Viridiplantae; Streptophyta; Magnoliopsida; Poales; Poaceae. The record is from RNAcentral.